UUUACUUCUUACUGAUGCUUUUUCUGUCAUUCAUUUAUUGCCCUCCCUGAAAGUUGCCACAUGUGCGAGUUUUGUAACUCAGUGACGGUUUUGAAUAGAGAGCCCCCCAACUUAUCAAUUGUCAGGCACAUCAAUAUCAAUUUUUCAGUCUGCAUGCAAGUGUAAAAUACUAUUAGUAAAAUCCUAAAUUAAUUUGCCAUGCAUUUCGUUUGGCUUUCUUCCUGCAACACAGCAUGAAACCAUAAGUAAAAGAAACAGUAGACAAAUUGCAUUUGCAGCAAAAAGCAUCUAAGGUGAAUAUGGGUAUUCCUCAACGCAUCCAAUAAUAUCCAGGAUCUGAUUAGCUAAGGCCUGUAGUCAAAGAUUGUGUGCCUUAACCCAUCAGAUGCAAAUUAAAAGAAACAUGACAAUGCAAAUUCACAUAAUAGCAAUCUGAAUAUAUAUAUCACUUGAUAACAUGGACACUAUCACUGACUCAAAUUAGCAAAUCUAAUAACCAAAGAAAGACGGUGUCGGACUCGUAAACCACAAAGAAUCAUUGGAUUCCAUCAAUUUACAGAAGGACGGUGUCGUAAAAAAAGCCGUCUCCAUAUACCAUAGUUAAGAUCCUUCAUCAUUCUAUACAAGAGAUAAGUCCUUCUAAAGGUAAAUACUUUUCUAAUCUUUUCAUCCUAUUUAUAAAUACCAACAUAGUAAUGAAAGAUAACUAUGGCCACCGGAACACAAGAAUCGGCCCUUUUCCUGCAUUAAGAAUGAAGCCUCCCACACCACAGCGACAAGAUCCCUAAUUUCCUCGUAACUCUUAACUGAGGUUUAAAACUAUAGGCUGGGAUCAUAUGUACGUAAAAGAAAGACGAAAAUUUAGUUACUCCUAAGGUAAAAAACUUAGAAUAUGUACUCCUUAAGUAUGUCAACAAAGCACUGUCAAAUUCCGUUUGCUCCAAAAGCACCUAAGAAUUCUCAAAGAAAAACAUUACCUGAAUAGUUUUAUCUCUCAUCCAUGACAAAAGAACAAGAGCGCAAAUUAGUAAUCGACCGACUACCUCGUCAUUGCUACAGGAAGAAGUACAAACAGAUAUGAUGGAUUGGAAUCUCUAGAAAUCUGAUCUUGGUUGUAAGAUACAAAAAGUACACGCUUCAAACUCGUAGCAACCGCUAAAAUUACUAUGCUCAGAUUAUGAAGUUGAUUCAGAACCUGAAGGAUAUUAUUAUACGUUAAAUUUACAUGCAAUGUCAUGGGUUUCUAAUGCUAUUCUUUCCAUAAAAUUUGAUUUUCACCUGAGUAACCCAAAUAAUAAGGAUAUAGAAUCAACUCGAUACAAAUUAUCAAACUGAAACCAUAAUUUUUUUUUAUUGUUUCUUCAGUAUAAACCAAAUCGAAUUAGAUGGAAUGAAUAUUACUUAGACUAAACCCAGCUUAUUGUCACUUGAACCGUGAAAUGACUGGAGAACAACAAAAUUGACGAAAUUUGACAGGUUUUCAGUGAAGUCUUCCUUUUCAAUACAUUUUUUUUUUUUUCAUUCAAAAAAUUCGAAGCCAAUAUGUUGUUUAAAAAAUCUAAAUUCAGUAUAACUUGCACCAAUGAAAUGUUAGUGCUUCCGAAGGUGCGUGAUUUAACGAACAAAGCAAAAAGAAAAUCAUAAAGAAAAAUGUUUUCAAGUAGAACAUGUGCCUAAAGUCAUGAACAUAUGGAUGUUAUGCCCAACCAAAAACCACGGAACAGAAACAGAACAAAUCUCAAGAAAUUAAAUCCUUCAGCUUCAACUUACGAUUCAGUGCAGUGUGAGAAUGCAUCAGAACACGAACAACCGAAAUCCUCGUAACCAUCAUCAAAGUCCACGACAUUUGACUACAAUCGAAACGACAGGUUCAAGCGAAAAACAGAACAACCGACAGGCUAUGAAGAGGAUUUGAAUGUACCUGAAGAAAUUGAGCAGUUUGAAGAGAUCUGUGUCCUCGGAAAUCGUCUCGAAACGACGUCAAUCCGAUGCUCCAUACGUUCGUUUCGUUCGGACUUCGAAGACCCUUUGCUGAAGCGAUUCAGGUUGUAUGAUGGAUUAUGUCGAGCCAAAAACGGUGCCGUUCUGCGCAACGUGUUGUGAGGUUGAAGAUGAGAAAGCGAAAUGCCGAAACAGCGCGCAUUCGCGUAGGCCCCACACACAGUUACCAUUCGCGACGCUAUUUGGAAUGCGGGACCUAUUAUUAAG
Molecule: long non-coding RNA, 2208 nt
Filed under: Phaseolus vulgaris (common bean)
Lineage: Eukaryota; Viridiplantae; Streptophyta; Magnoliopsida; Fabales; Fabaceae
Description: long non-coding RNA (PVUL_LNC002433)
Source: RNAcentral